AUGGGAAACUAUUUGACAGCCAAUCGUGAUCAGUUGAUGGUUGAACUGAUUUAAUGAGCUGGCUGAAAAGAGCAUUUGUGGACUAUACUGCUAUAUUCAACGCCUUUGGACACAUAUGUGUACAAUUAGUGGGAGACAACACAGUUUACACAAAUGUCCCUCAUGUCCUACUUGUUCUUACCACUAAUUGAGAUAAUUCAUGUUAUUUCAAUGUAUUUAUAUUGGCACACAUUUUCACCAUUUUUCCCACUCGUUUAAACCAGGAGUCUCAAACUGCCAGCCCGGGUGCCAUUUCCUGACAAAUUUUCUUUUUUGCUAAGUAUGAUUUUAGUAAUGGAAAUAUUUUCAGAAUAUUACACUUUCUUACCAGAAGCUUCUCCAAGCUUUGAGUUUGAGACCCCUGACUUAAACCAAUGCAAAAGCUCAUCAUAAAAAAAAAUGUUUUUUAUAGUUUGAUUAUUUGAAAAUUAACCUCGAUCCAAAUAAAGAUUACAUCAAUGCAUUAAAAUAAAUACAUUAUCAAUUACAUUUAAAAAAAUAUAUUAUUAAGUAAUAUUUUUUUUUAUUAUCACUGGCUUUUAUAGAUAUAUUUAUACAAAGCCACUGCAUAAAUAGUUUGGUUAUUUGCAUUAAUUAAAAUUAAAAAUGAAUACAAUUUUAAAUACCACCUUACAACGCCUGUUGGAUGUGUUUUUCCAAUACACAUUCCUAAGACCUCCGACCUGGGAUCAGUGCUGAUAUCUCAGCCACCAUAAUCCCUUUACAGUUAGGAUCCGCCCACACAGCCAGGAUGAUUGACAGCCGACUCCUCCAACCAGGUGGCGGCCGACUUGCCUGGCCUCCUUUCUCCCCUCCUCCUCCUCCUCCUAGUCCGACUUUGUUGCUCUCCUGCCCCGCUAGCCCGUCUCCAGUCUCUCCGGGGAGCCGAAGAACAACUCGAAAAACUCCCAACCAUGGAAGAAGACAAUAUAAUAAUGCCUGUUUGACUCGGGGGGGACAUUUUCCAAGACUGGGUGGCCUGAUCAAGAAGAUGUUCCUCAGUUUUAAUUUCACAGUACAUUAA
Long non-coding RNA from Dicentrarchus labrax (European seabass), 1063 nucleotides. NCBI's taxonomy places the organism in Eukaryota, Metazoa, Chordata, Actinopteri, Moronidae. The record is from Ensembl.